CCCUUAGAUGUCCUGGGCCGCACGCGCGUUACACUGAUGCAUUCAACGAGCUUAUAACCUUGGCCGAGAGGCCUGGGCAAUCUUGUUAACGUGCAUCGUGAUAGGGAUAGAUUAUUGAAAUUAUUAAUCUUGAACGAGGAAUUCCUAGUAAACGCAGAUCAUCAAUCUGCAUUGAUUACGUCCCUGCCCUUUGUACACACCGCCCGUCGCACCUACCGAUUGAAUGGUCCGGUGAAAUCUUCGGACUCUGUGUUUAUUGAUUCGUUUCAAUUUACUACUGGAGAAAGUUGAGUAAACCUUACCAUUUAGAGGAAGGUGAAGUCGUAACA
RNAcentral lists this ribosomal RNA (329 nucleotides) under uncultured eukaryote. RNAcentral describes it as "partial 18S ribosomal RNA". It matches the Rfam family "Eukaryotic small subunit ribosomal RNA", at positions 1470 to 1796 of the family's 1831-position model. The record is from RNAcentral.